Artibeus jamaicensis (Jamaican fruit-eating bat) is the source of this 2826-nucleotide RNA transcript. It is a transcript of the gene named hedgehog acyltransferase, with no coding region annotated. The transcript is spliced from 13 exons. The record is from RefSeq and is a predicted model, not a curated record. Lineage: Eukaryota; Metazoa; Chordata; Mammalia; Chiroptera; Phyllostomidae.
GGCUGCUCCUCCAACGGCCGCGCCGAAAAGAGGGCGGCUUCCCGGGCAGGCCCGUUGCUACCUCUUGACUGGAAGUGCGGAGAGGGGUGUUGGGAACUCGGGGCGCGCGUGAACGCCGCCGCCGCCCGGGACAGCCCGGAGAGACCCUCACCUUGGGCACUGGCACCACUUGGCACGAGCAAUGCUGCCGCGGUGGGAACUAUCUUUUUACGUGCUUGCUGCACUCGGCUUCCACUUCUAUUCUUUCUAUGAAGUUUACAAAGCCUCCAGAGAACAUGAAGAGCAAUUGGACCAAGAAUUUGACCUGGCGAUUGGCACUUUAUUUGGAGGAUUAAAGAAGGACCGGACCGACUUUGAGUGGAGCUUCUGGAUGGAGUGGGGGAAGCAGCAGCUGGUGUGGCUUCUCCUUGGCCACCUGGCUGUGUCUCAGAUGGCCAACCAGAUUUCGAGGAAGCACAGACCCUGGAUCCUCACUGCCUACGGGAUGUGGGCCUGCUGGUGUGUGCUGGGUGCCCCGGGGACAGCCACGAUUUUCCUCCACACCAUCAUCGCCUUCUGUGUAGCCCAGUUCCGGUCGCUGUUCCUAUCCUGGCUCUGUUCUCUCCUCCUGCUCUCCACACUGAGGCUGCAAGAUGUGGAGGAGAUGAAGAGAGGGUGGUACAAGACAGAAAACGAGUACUACUUGCUGCAGUUCACGCUGACCGUUCGCUGCCUGUACUACACCAGCUUCAGCCUCGAGUUCUGCUGGCAGCAGCUGCCCGCUGGGCGCACCUUCUACUCCUUGCCCUGGUUGAUGGCCUACGUCUUCUAUUACCCCGUCUUCCACAACGGGCCCAUCCUCCGCUUCCCGGAGUUCAUCGCACAGAUGCAGCAGCAGGAGCCUUGCUCACUGAAGAUCAGCAUUUCCGUCCUUGCCCGGGGGCUGGGCCGCCUCUUCUGCUGCUGGUGCCUGGCCGAGCUGAUGGUGCACCUCAUGUACAUGCACGCCCUCUACGGCAGCGCCCCGCUCCUGCGAACCGUCUCUUGUUGGACCUUAGGCGGACUGGCGCUGGCCCAGGUGCUCUUCUUCUACGUGAAGUACUUGGUGCUCUUUGGCAUCCCCGCCCUGCUCAUGCGCCUGGACGGACUCACGCCGCCGCCCCUCCCGCGCUGCGUCAGCACCAUGUUCAGUUUCACGGGCAUGUGGAGGUAUUUUGACGUUGGACUUCACGAUUUCUUGAUCAGGUACGUGUACAUCCCAGUGGGCGGGUCCCAGCAUGGCCUGCUGGGGACGCUGUUUUCCACUGCGACAACUUUUGCAUUUGUGAGCUACUGGCAUGGUGGGCACGACUACCUCUGGUGCUGGGCAGCGCUCAACUGGCUGGGAGUCACCGUGGAGAAUGGAGUCCAGAGGCUUGUGGAGACCCCGUGCGUCCAGGACAGCCUGGUGCAGUUCCUCUCCCCACGGGCUCGCCGGCGAUUCCACGCAGCCCUCGCCUCUUGUUCCACCUCCAUGCUGAUCCUGUCCAACCUGGUGUUUCUUGGGGGCAGCCAAGUGGGGAAAAUCUACUGGAACAGGAUCUUCAUACAAGGCUGGCCGUGGGUGACCCUCUCCGUCCUGGGAUUCCUGUACUGCUACUCCCACGUGGGCAUUGCCUGGGCCCAGACAUACGCCGAGAACUAAUGUGGUGGGUCCAGGACGGCCUUGCUCUUGGCCUCCAAGGCAAAUGGUGCUUCUCCCUGCCCUCACAGCCCACGACGACUUCCAAGGGGCCAACGCUUGACCUGUUCCUCCUUUGUGGAAGUUACCUCACUCCAAGAUUGGAAGCUUGAACUCUCCUAGAAAACCGAUAACCCGAGUCUCCCACCUUCAGGGACACAGAGACCAUCUCCCCCCACCGUCCUGUUCCUGUCGAGUGAGCUGGGGUCCAGCUGUAGUGUAGAUACUGCCCGUCUGCCCAGGGUGACACUGUGGUCCUUAGUGCCCAGACGCCCUUUGGGUUUUUUCUCCUUUACUAAGAAUUAAAUGUAAUGGGCAUUUUUUGACUGAGGCCCAGAAACCCUGACUGGUGACAGGCCUGUCCUUCAUUGGGCAAUAUUUCUGAAACACUUUGGUGACAUUUAUGUGUCCCCCUUCCCCAUGCCCUGCAGUGUGGUCUCAGCAGGGAGGUGGCAAAGUUGCAGCUGUGUUUUUAAUUACUCGGUAAAGAAGAUAGAGUAUGUUCCGUGACAUUCCAAGGAGUCUGUACCCAAGGAGACCCGUUUUUGAACUUCGUCGUGGCGAUCUGCACUUGGCUGCUUGUUUCCUAGAUCCGCAGAGCAGUCAACAUGUGGAGCUUCUACCCGACAGUGCGUCAUGUCCACCUAAGGAGGCAGAACUUAAAGCCCAGGGGACAGUGCACCACAGACAGGUGCCAUCAGGCGAGUCACAGAGGGGCCAGCUGUCGGGAAGCCAGGAAGCUGGGUGACCCCCACGAGGCCGGCCUUUCUGCGCCUGCUGGGAAGCUCUCCAGGCCUUUCUUCAGGGAAACUAUUUUAUUUUAAAACAAAGCAACAAAAUCUCUCUUUUUCUAAUAGUUGAAACCCAUCUGGCACCCAAAGUAUAUUCCUUGGCUCUGUAUUACUAGUCCUUUUGAUUAAUUACAAAGAUUGUGUUCACAAAGAGUUUUUCCCUUCAUCGAGGCCAUCUAAAGCAAGCAGUGUUUAGUGCUUUACUAGGUGAGAACUUGAAAAUGAACAUCAAUCAUGUGGAAUUUUAAGCACUAUACCCUUACAUUAUUUUUAUUAUGCUUUUCUGCGAUGUAAUGAAAUAACAGGGUGUGGCCUUAUGAGAUCAAGCAGAGUCCC